GUCUAUGGCCAUACCACCCUGAAUGUGCCUGAUUUUGGCUGAUCUUGGAAGCUAAACAGGGUAGGGCCUAGUUAGUACUUGAGUGGGAGACCCCCUGGGAAUACCAGAGCUGUAGGCU
This is a ribosomal RNA of Fukomys damarensis (Damara mole-rat), 118 nucleotides long. Lineage: Eukaryota; Metazoa; Chordata; Mammalia; Rodentia; Bathyergidae. The record is from Ensembl.